RNAcentral lists this ribosomal RNA (429 nucleotides) under Fusobacteriota bacterium. RNAcentral's name for it is "Fusobacteria bacterium partial 16S ribosomal RNA". It matches the Rfam family "Bacterial small subunit ribosomal RNA", at positions 355 to 776 of the family's 1533-position model. Lineage: Bacteria; Fusobacteriati; Fusobacteriota. The record is from RNAcentral.
UGGGGAAUAUUGCGCAACGGGCGAAAGCCUGACGCAGCGACGCCGCGUGAGGGAUGAAGGUUUUCGGAUCGUAAACCUCUGUCAGAAGGGAAGAAACCGCACUGUGCUAAUCAGCAGUGCCUUGACGGUACCUUCAAAGGAAGCACCGGCUAACUCCGUGCCAGCAGCCGCGGUAAUACGGAGGGUGCAAGCGUUAAUCGGAAUUACUGGGCGUAAAGCGCACGUAGGCUGCUUUGUAAGUCAGGGGUGAAAUCCCACGGCUCAACCGUGGAACUGCCUUUGAUACUGCUUAGCUUGAAUCCGGGAGAGGGUGGCGGAAUUCCAGGUGUAGGAGUGAAAUCCGUAGAUAUCUGGAGGAACAUCAGUGGCGAAGGCGGCCACCUGGACCGGUAUUGACGCUGAGGUGCGAAAGCGUGGGGAGCAAACAGG